Molecule: unclassified non-coding RNA, 360 nt
Filed under: Hevea brasiliensis (rubber tree)
Lineage: Eukaryota; Viridiplantae; Streptophyta; Magnoliopsida; Malpighiales; Euphorbiaceae
Source: RNAcentral
GCUGAUUUUGACUCCUCCGCAUCUGCAAACUCCACAAAAGCCUCUCCCGUCGGCCUACCCUCGCUGUUCAGCGUGAUAUGAACGCUAUCCUCCGACAGCUGGAACUCCAAAAAGAACUCCACCACAUCGUCCUUCCCCGCAGAAUAAGGCAAUCCCCUCAUACGAAUAACUCCCGUGUGCUCCACCAAAUCCUUCCCAUCAUCACUCGACUUUGCCCGACCACCUCGACGAGGAGGAGAACCCCCCUUCGCAUCUGCCACCUCAUGUGCAACCGCCUUGUAGUAUUCUUGCCUUUUACCCCUGAAAACCUCAAUGUACCGCCUACCCAUGUUCUGACGAUUCUUCUGAAGGGCGUAAUCA